Non-coding RNA from Schistosoma mansoni, 45 nucleotides. Lineage: Eukaryota; Metazoa; Platyhelminthes; Trematoda; Strigeidida; Schistosomatidae. The record is from Rfam.
AUCCAGCUGACGAGUCCUAGAUAGGACAAAACGCACUUCCUGGAU